Molecule: unclassified non-coding RNA, 332 nt
Filed under: soil metagenome
Description: partial contains 5.8S ribosomal RNA, internal transcribed spacer 2, and large subunit ribosomal RNA
Rfam family: 5.8S ribosomal RNA (bases 1-120)
Source: RNAcentral
GAUGAAGAACGUAGCGAAAUGCGAUAAGUAGUGUGAAUCGCAGAAUUCAGUGAAUCAUCGAAUCUUUGAACGCACAUUGCGCCCUUUGGUAUUCCUUAGGGCAUGCCUGUUCGAGCGUCAUUUAAACCUUCAAGCUAAGCUUGGUGUUGGGUGACUGUCCGCUUCACGGCGGACUCGCCUCAAAAUUAUUGGCGGCCGGUACAUUGGCUUCGAGCGCAGCAGAAACGCGAACUCGGGCCCGUCGUAUUGGCUCCCAGAAGCUAUCUUCACAAUUUUGACCUCGGAUCAGGUAGGGAUACCCGCUGAACUUAAGCAUAUCAAUAAGCGGAGGA